GACGUAGGGCGCGAGCGUUGUCCGGAUUUAUUGGGCGUAAAGAGCUCGUAGGCGGCUUGUCGCGUCGAAUGUGAAAUCUCAGGGCUCAACUCUGACAUUGCAUUCGAUACGGGCAGGCUCGAGUUCGGUAGGGGAGACUGGAAUUCCUGGUGUAGCGGUGAAAUGCGCAGAUAUCAGGAGGAACACCGGUGGCGAAGGCGGGUCUCUAGUACGGUACUGACGCUGAGACGCGAAAGCGUGGGGAGCGAACAGG
This 253-nucleotide ribosomal RNA is filed under the name uncultured bacterium. Its description in RNAcentral is "partial 16S ribosomal RNA". It matches the Rfam family "Bacterial small subunit ribosomal RNA", at positions 524 to 776 of the family's 1533-position model. The record is from RNAcentral.